AAAAGUCGUAACAAGGUUUCCGUAGGUGAACCAGCGGAGGGAUCAUUACCGAGUUUACAACUCCCAAACCCCUGUGAACAUACCUAUCGUUGCUUCGGCGGGAUGCCCCAGUUUGACGCAAGCUGGACCCAGGCGCCCGCCGGAGGACCCAAACUCUUGUUUUAUUUAUGUAUCUUCUGAGUAAACAAGCAAAUAAAUUAAAACUUUCAACAACGGAUCUCUUGGUUCUGG
This 231-nucleotide unclassified non-coding RNA is filed under the name Fusicolla acetilerea. RNAcentral describes it as "partial internal transcribed spacer region". The stretch from base 1 to 48 matches the Rfam family "Eukaryotic small subunit ribosomal RNA", at positions 1784 to 1831 of the family's 1831-position model. Lineage: Eukaryota; Fungi; Ascomycota; Sordariomycetes; Hypocreales; Nectriaceae. The record is from RNAcentral.